This 424-nucleotide ribosomal RNA is filed under the name uncultured bacterium. RNAcentral's name for it is "bacterial SSU rRNA". It matches the Rfam family "Bacterial small subunit ribosomal RNA", at positions 355 to 796 of the family's 1533-position model. The record is from RNAcentral.
UGGGGAAUAUUGGACAAUGGGCGCAAGCCUGAUCCAGCCAUGCCGCGUGGGUGAUGAAGGCCCUAGGGUUGUAAAGCCCUUUCGGCGGGGAAGAUAAUGACGGUACCCGCAGAAGAAGCCCCGGCUAACUUCGUGCCAGCAGCCGCGGUAAUACGAAGGGGGCUAGCGUUGCUCGGAAUCACUGGGCGUAAAGCGCACGUAGGCGGAUUGUUAAGUCAGAGGUGAAAUCCUGGAGCUCAACUCCAGAACUGCCUUUGAUACUGGCGAUCUUGAGUCCGGGAGAGGUGAGUGGAACUGCGAGUGUAGAGGUGAAAUUCGUAGAUAUUCGCAAGAACACCAGUGGCGAAGGCGGCUCACUGGCCCGGUACUGACGCUGAGGUGCGAAAGCGUGGGGAGCAAACAGGAUUAGAUACCCCCGUAGUCC